Long non-coding RNA from Lycium ferocissimum, 331 nucleotides. RefSeq lists it as uncharacterized. Lineage: Eukaryota; Viridiplantae; Streptophyta; Magnoliopsida; Solanales; Solanaceae. The transcript has 2 exons. The record is from RefSeq and is a predicted model, not a curated record.
ACAAAAUGUACACCAAAAUAAGUCACCUUGUGGAACAAGUGAUUCGCGGUGAGACAGGUAGUUCACAAUCUGCCAAAAGGGCUUACAGCCACGUACCUGCUUUCAAAUGCUAAUAUUUCAGACAACUUGAAGCCUGAAGCUGAAGUUAAGAUUAUUGGACCUGCUGGAAAAGAAAUAUUCAUGCCAAAGGAUCCCACUGCUACAGUAAUACCGAUAAUUGUUGCCCACUGCUAGCUCCUUUAGUUGUUACCAUCAGGCACUUCUGCACACUUCCCUUCAAUAUGACUGAGCAGACUUGGAUCUUGUCAUCUUGCAGCUUGCCACUGGAGGA